RNAcentral lists this ribosomal RNA (253 nucleotides) under uncultured bacterium. Its description in RNAcentral is "partial 16S ribosomal RNA". It matches the Rfam family "Bacterial small subunit ribosomal RNA", at positions 524 to 776 of the family's 1533-position model. The record is from RNAcentral.
UACGAAGGGGGCUAGCGUUGUUCGGAUUUACUGGGCGUAAAGCGCACGUAGGCGGAUUGGUCAGUUAGGGGUGAAAUCCUGGAACUCAACUCCAGAACUGCCUUUAAGACUGCAUCGCUUGAAUCCAGGAGAGGUGAGUGGAAUUCCGAGUGUAGAGGUGAAAUUCGUAGAUAUUCGGAAGAACACCAGUGGCGAAGGCGGCUCACUGGACUGGUAUUGACGCUGAGGUGCGAAAGCGUGGGGAGCAAACAGG